GAUGAACGCUGGCGGCGUGCCUAAUACAUGCAAGUCGAGCGAACGGACGAGAAGCUUGCUUCUCUGAUGUUAGCGGCGGACGGGUGAGUAACACGUGGAUAACCUACCUAUAAGACUGGGAUAACUUCGGGAAACCGGAGCUAAUACCGGAUAAUAUUUUGAACCGCAUGGUUCAAAAGUGAAAGACGGUCUUGCUGUCACUUAUAGAUGGAUCCGCGCUGCAUUAGCUAGUCGGUAAGGUAACGGCUUACCAAGGCAACGAUGCAUAGCCGACCUGAGAGGGUGAUCGGCCACCCUGGAACUGAGCCACGGUCCAGACUCCUACGGGAGGCAGCAGUAGGGAAUCUUCCGCAAUGGGCGAAAGCCUGACGGAGCAACGCCGCGUGAGUGAUGAAGGUCUUCGGAUCGUAAAACUCUGUUAUUAGGGAAGAACAUAUGUGUAAGUAACUGUGCACAUCUUGACGGUACCUAAUCAGAAAGCCACGGCUAACUACGUG
This 497-nucleotide ribosomal RNA is filed under the name uncultured bacterium. RNAcentral describes it as "partial 16S ribosomal RNA". It matches the Rfam family "Bacterial small subunit ribosomal RNA", at positions 28 to 507 of the family's 1533-position model. The record is from RNAcentral.